Long non-coding RNA from Oxyura jamaicensis (ruddy duck), 592 nucleotides. RefSeq lists it as uncharacterized. The record is from RefSeq and is a predicted model, not a curated record. NCBI's taxonomy places the organism in Eukaryota, Metazoa, Chordata, Aves, Anseriformes, Anatidae. The transcript is spliced from 3 exons.
CAGAUCAGGACCGUGCUCUCUGUCUGCAGUACAAGGACUUUGUGUUGACCACCCUGCUUGGAUUAAGGAGGAUGCAGGGCAGGAGAAGCAGAGGGCUUAGCUGAGAUGUCUGUCAUCUCCCUUCAGAAAGGACAACCUUUUUGCAUCAAGGGCUGCUGGGCAUCUGGUGAGCUGGUGCUUCACUCGGAUGCUCCCUGACCUCAGCACAGCUGGCCUGGAGGUCACUUGUUGUGCCUGAGCUGUACCCAGGGCAUGAGCUGUCCAAAAGAGGUAUGAAAUGGACUCUUCUCUGAGCAGUUUGAUCUGAGGAGUCUAUUUUGAAACCAUGUCAUACCCCACGGACUCAAGCACUGUACUUGAGCUGUUCCUGAAGUGCUGUGUAGAUGCAAGCCUUGUUGCUGGAACGGAGCUGCUUCUGUGGAGGAAAACAACAGCUUAAUUUGGAAGGAAUUACUGCUUCCCAUGACUGCUGCUCUGCAGAGAUCACUGGUCCUGACCUCAGCUGGGAGACUUUGCUGCAGUUCCUACCUCAGCCCCUGCCUCCGACAUCGUCUGGGGUCAAACUGCUGCCACCAUUCAACCUCCAGGUUUC